UGGCUGCGCUGUCAGCUAGCUGACUCAUAAUCGGCAGGCCGUAGGUUCAAGUCCUACCGGGUCCACCA
RNAcentral lists this transfer RNA (68 nucleotides) under Wenzhouxiangella marina. Its description in RNAcentral is "tRNA-Ile". Lineage: Bacteria; Pseudomonadati; Pseudomonadota; Gammaproteobacteria; Chromatiales; Wenzhouxiangellaceae. The record is from RNAcentral.